GGGGUUAUAGGGUCUAUAGGGGGGGUUAUAGGGGUUAUAGGGGGGGCUAUAGGGGUUAUAGGGGGUUAUGGGGGGUUAUAGAGGGUUAUAGGGGGGGUUAUAGGGGUUAUAGGGCUUAUAGGGGGGGUUAUAGGAGGGUUAUAGGGUUUAUAGGGUGUUAUAGGGAGGUUAUAGGGUUUAUAAGGGGUUAUAGGGAGGUUAUAGGUGUUAUAGGGGUUAUGGGGGGGUUUAUAAGUGGGGAGGGCGCCCCCUGUUGGCCGGGAGGAUGAAUUGCAUGAAGAGGCCCCACGUUGCACGACAGGACCCUGCACUGGGGGCUGUGCAUGGACGCUUUGCACGUGGGCUUUGCACGAGGACGACGCGUUGCACCACGGCCCGGCCUUGCACGAGGGACGUGGUGAUAGAGCUGCAUCGGGGCCUUGCACGAGGACAUUGCACGAGGGGGAGCUGCAUGGCACUGCAGGACAGUGGGGGGCUGCAUUGAAGCACCACGCUUUGCACGAGGACUUUGCACAAGGACCUUUUGCACGAGGACCUUUUGCACAAGGACUUUGCACAAGUGCAUUGCCACAUUGCUUUGCACGAGGGGGGGCUGCAUGCCAUCCUAUAGCCCAGCAUUGGGGGGGGGGCUGCAUUGAGGCUCUUUGCACGAGGAUCAUUUGCACAAGCAUCAUUUGCACGAGGACCUUUUGCACUAGGACUUUGCACAAGCACAUUGCAUUGCACGAGGGGGGGCUGCAUGCCAUCCUAUAGCCCAGCAUUGGGGGGGGGGCUGCAUUGAGGCUCUUUGCACAAGGACCUUUUGCACAAGGAUCUUUUGCACAAGGACCUUUUGCACAAGGGCUUUGCACAAGCACAUUGCAUUGCACGGGGGGGGCUGCUGCAUGUCAUCCUAUAGCCCAGGCAUUGCACGGGGGGGGGGGUACACCAUCCUAUAGCCCAGCAUUGAGGGGGGGCUGCAUUGAGGCUCUUUGCACGAGGAUCAUUUGCACAAGCAUCAUUUGCACAAGCAUUAUUUGCACGAGGACCUUUUGCACUAGGACUUUGCACUAGGACUUUUUGCACGGGG
This 1069-nucleotide long non-coding RNA is filed under the name Coturnix japonica (Japanese quail). Its description in RNAcentral is "lncRNA (ENSCJPG00005001814.1)". Lineage: Eukaryota; Metazoa; Chordata; Aves; Galliformes; Phasianidae. The record is from RNAcentral.